GAAUAUUGGACAAUGGGGGAAACCCUGAUCCAGCCAUGCCGCGUGAGUGAUGAAGGCCUUAGGGUCGUAAAGCUCUUUCGCCUGGGAAGAUAAUGACGGUACCAGGUAAAGAAACCCCGGCUAACUCCGUGCCAGCAGCCGCGGUAAUACGGAGGGGGUUAGCGUUGUUCGGAAUUACUGGGCGUAAAGCGCACGUAGGCGGAUCAGUCAGUCAGGGGUGAAAUCCCGGGGCUCAACCCCGGAACUGCCUUUGAUACUGCUGGUCUGGAGGUCGAGAGAGGUGAGUGGAAUUCCGAGUGUAGAGGUGAAAUUCGUAGAUAUUCGGAGGAACACCAGUGGCGAAGGCGGCUCACUGGCUCGAUACUGACGCUGAGGUGCGAAAGCGUGGGGAGCAAACAGG
Molecule: ribosomal RNA, 400 nt
Filed under: uncultured bacterium
Lineage: Bacteria
Description: bacterial SSU rRNA
Rfam family: Bacterial small subunit ribosomal RNA
Source: RNAcentral